GGACUUGGUGGAAACAAAUGGAUGAGGCAAUACUGAUGGAUGUUAAUCUUCCAAGAUGUGGAAACAGCAGCUGCAGCCAAAAGGACUUGGUGGAAACAAAUGGAUGAGGCAAUACUGAUGGAUGUUAAUCUUCCAAGAUGUGGAAACAGCAGCUGCAGCCAAAAGGACUUGGUGGAAACAACUGGAGGAGACCAGCCUGAUGGAUGUUACCGCCCCCCUUUCAAGACAUAUCGCAGUAGAUAACCGACACUGAUCAGGUUGAAAAGGAGACUUCAGACGAUGAUGCUGAUGAAGUUUUUCUUCAACAAUGUGAAAAAGAGCUUUUGCAGCCUACAAGAUUUGAUGGAAGGAACUGGAAAAUGCAAUGCUGAUGGAUGUUGACCCUCCAAGAUGUGGAAAAGACCAGCCAAAGCCAGACAGGAAUUGGUGCAAAAAACCUGGAAAAGGCAAGACUGAUGGAUUUGACCUUACCAACAGCAAGACAUAUCACAGUGGAUGCAAUGUUGAUGGACCUUAUCCCCCCCCCCCCCCCCCAUGAUGUGGAAAUGAAGAGUAACAGCCAGACAGGAAUUGGUGGAAACAACUGGAAAAGAUGAGACUGAUGGACGUUAACCUUCCCAAUAGCAAGACAUAUCACUUUGGAUAACUGUCACUGAUCAGUGUGCUUAGAUGAUUUUGUGACAGUACCCUAUAGGAGACUCAGAUAAAGUCAUGUGGAUGUGCUUGACAUUAUGAAUGACAAGGAGCCCUCAGAAAAUUAAAGUAUUGAAGAGGUAUAUCCUUGUGAUCGCAUGUGGAGAAAGACAAAGAUAGAUGACCAUGUAGAAGUCCAGAUUUGCACACACAAGCACAUCCAAUUUACAAUGUUAUAAUCCAAAACAAUUUUUUUGAAACAUUUGUUUUGGAAAUGGGUGUCUGAGUUGUAAGAGGGUAUGGGGUCGCCCACUCAGACACGUGGGUUUUCUCCGGGGGCUCCGGUUUCCUCCCACACUGACCCCAUUCUUUUUCUUUGUGCCAAUUGAAAGUAAAUAUCUUUUAUUAUCUAUUGUUUUGCUCUAAUGUUAUUUUAUGUAUUUUGUUAUAUUUUAUAUUAUAAAAUGUUUAGAUAAAGUAGUUGAAAGCUAGUUGUAAGUAGACCUUGUCGAUACCCUGGGGCAUUACUGGUUGGAACUUCGUGGAUCCUUGGCCGCUACGGUUGCCAGGCUGGCCUGGGGAGGAGAGGUUGAAAACGCAACUAGUUGUAGGCUGCUUUGUCUUUAAUAAUCUGUUUUCAUUUUAUCUAAAAUCAAAAGAUCAUAUAUGUUGCAGAUAUAAUGAUUGUUAAAUAUUAAAUUAGAAUUCCUGGAAUGUACAAAUUCUGUCAGCUACUGUACCAGUAAUAAUUUGUAUAGUCAAUUCCAAUUAUAAGCUUAUUGUGAUGCAUUAUAUACUGACUAAAUCUUCAGUAAAAGUAAUUGAUUAUAAAUUUUGAUGUGAAAUUAUGAUUUGUAUUUAAUAAUGUAAAGUAAUGGGAUUUGAAUGUAUUAA
This is a long non-coding RNA of Saccostrea echinata, 1527 nucleotides long. RefSeq lists it as uncharacterized. Lineage: Eukaryota; Metazoa; Mollusca; Bivalvia; Ostreida; Ostreidae. The record is from RefSeq and is a predicted model, not a curated record. The transcript has 4 exons.